Non-coding RNA from Rattus norvegicus (Norway rat), 1114 nucleotides. NCBI's taxonomy places the organism in Eukaryota, Metazoa, Chordata, Mammalia, Rodentia, Muridae. The record is from RefSeq and is a predicted model, not a curated record.
GUUUGUCAGGCUAUUUUUCUCACAACAGCAGAGACUAAACUUAAACACUGGCCUGCAUCGCCAUGUCUCAAAUGAAAGGUGGAAGAUACUGAAAGGCCAGCCCUAUCUUUGUCCUCUCUGACUGCCACGUUUGUACAGCCCCCGUAUGCCUAUAGGUGCACGCAUACACAGAUUUCUUUAAAGCUGUCAUGGUAAGGAGUGCCACGGUGAAGUCACCAUGUUCCUUUUUUUUAUUAACUAGUAAGUGCUGCCAAGGAGCAUGUUCAGACCCUGCAUGAAUAUCACGUUUGUCACUAAGCAUCCAGUUACCUUGGUCGACCAUCCUUCCUACAUUCAAUCGUCAGAAUUCUAUGCUAAGGAGCUGCUUCCUUUCUCCUCGGGUGUUCAUUCAGUUACUUACAAGGGGCUCGACACAUAGUUCCGUGGUUAGUCAUGCUUACUUACUGCUCUCGCGGAGGAUUGGAGUUCAGAUCGAGGAACUCACAUUGAGUAACUCACAACCUCUGGCUUCCGGAUUCUGGCGCCCUCUUCUGGCCUCCAUAGGUUGCUGUGACCAAGAACCUAACAGGAAGCAAUUUCAAGAAGAAAGGGUGCCUUGGUUCACCAUUUGACCAUUUAAUUCAUCUUGGCGGAGCACCAUGAGAACCCUGUGUGUUAACUGGUCACAUUGUACCCAUAGAUAAGAAGCAAAGAGCAAAGCAACACCUAGAGCCCAGCUAUGAAACCGUAAGUCUCACCUCUAGUGACCCCCUUUCUCCAGUGAGGCACCACCAAGAUCCUAUGACUCGCUCGAAACAGCACUACCUGGCUGGAAACAUGGCUCAGUUUGUAAAGCGCUCGCUCCGCUAUAAUGAAGACCUGAGUUUGGACCCACAGCACCCAUGUAGAAGCUGGAGGCAAUAGCAGGACCCUGUAAAUCCAGUUAUGGGGGACAGGAAUGGAGCUAUCAAGAGGUUCACAAGCCUGUCAAAUGGCCUGCUAGUUGUAAAGAGAGUUUGAGGGACACAGCUUUCAGGAGUCAUCACCCAUGCUGCAUGAAGUAGCUGUCUCUCAGCCACCCCUGCUCCUGUAAGUUGCCCCUCGCAUACGCUUCUGUUGUAACUCCAAUAAAGUC